GUCACCCCGUUUCCCCCCACCCGCCCCGCUAUUUAUAUAGCGUCGGGCCGCCGCCCGGACACCGCAGUGCGCCCCUUAGCUGGCGACUGUGUCCCACGGGCCGCUGGUACCUGUGUGAGGCGAGGCGGACGCUAUGGCGGCCGAGGCCCUGGCGGCGGAUGCCGUGGCGUCGCGCCUGGCGCGGCAGGAGGAGGACAUCCGCUGGCUGUGGACGGAGGUCCACCGCCUGAGAGACGAGCAGCUGAACGCGCCCGACCGCUGCCAGGCCGAGGGGCCGUGCCUCACGCGCGAGGUGGCGCAGCUGCGGGCCGAGAACCGCGAGCUGCGCCACCGCCUGUACCGCCUGCGGCUGUGCCUCGCGGAGGAGCUGAGCCACCAGGCGCGGCGGGAGAGCACGCUGCGGCAGGAGGCCGGGCGCGAGGCUGCGGGCACUCAGCCUCCUCCUAGUCAGAGCCAAGGAAAGGACAUUAAAAAGAAGAAGGAAAGCGGGCCUGACAGUGAGGUGAAGAAUCCACCAAAUUUUGUGAAGGAAAGAUUGAAGCUUUUUGAAAUACUGAAGAAAGAUCAUCAGCUCUUACUUGCCAUUUAUGGAAAAAAGGGGAAUACAAGCAAUGUGAUCACAGUAAGAGUGGCUGAUGGGAAAACAGUGGAAGGGGAAGCUUGGAAAACAACACCUUACCAAGUGGCUGCUGAAAUUAGUCAGGAGCUGGCAGAAAGCACAGUGAUAGCCAAAGUGAAUGGGGAGCUGUGGGACCUGGACCGUCCGCUGGAAGGGGACACCACCCUAGAGCUGCUCACGUUUGAGGACAAGGAAGCCCAAACUGUGUACUGGCACUCCAGUGCCCACGUCCUCGGGGAAGCCCUGGAGCUCCACUACGGGGGCCUCCUGUGCUGCGGGCCACCUACCGACUGCGGGUUCUACUACGACAUGUUCCUCAAAGACAGGGCCGUGUCCAGCACAGAGCUGCCAGCGCUGGAGAGCACGUGCAAGGCCAUCAUCAAAGAGCAGCAGCCUUUCGAAAGGUUGGAAGUCAGCAAGGAGGCCCUGCUGGACCUGUUUAAGUACAAUAAAUUUAAAUGCCGCAUCCUGAAGGAGAAUAUUAACACGCCAACGACCACAGUUUACAGGUGUGGUCCACUAGUUGACCUUUGUAAAGGCCCCCAUGUAAGACACACUGGAAAAAUUAAAGAGAUAAAAAUUUUCAAGAAUUCCUCAGCAUAUUGGGAGGGUAACCCUGAAAUGGAAACGCUGCAGAGGGUCUACGGGAUAUCCUUUCCUGAUGACCAGAUGAUGACAGCCUGGGAGAAGCUGCAGGAGGAGACCAAGACCCAGGAUCACAGGAGGAUUGGGAAGGAACAAGAACUUUUCUUCUUCCAUGAUCUGAGUCCUGGAAGCUGUUUCUUUCUUCCCAGAGGAGCCUUCGUUUAUAAUACACUUAUGGAUUUCAUACGAGAGGAGUACCACCGACGCAGCUUCAUGGAGGUGCUCUCCCCCAACGUGUACAGCAGUAAGCUCUGGGAAACCUCUGGACACUGGCAGCAUUACAGUGACAACAUGUUCACCUUUGACAUUGACAAGGACACUUUUGCCCUUAAGCCCAUGAAUUGUCCGGGGCACUGUCUGAUGUUUGCCCAUCGUCCACGAUCUUGGAGGGAAAUGCCUAUUAGAUUUGCUGACUUCGGAGCUCUUCACAGGAAUGAGCCGUCAGGAACUUUACAUGGCUUGACCCACGUCAGGCGCUUCCAGCAGGAUGACGCUCACAUCUUCUGCACUGUGGAGCAGAUUGAAGAAGAAAUAAAAGGGUGUUUGCAGUUUUUGCAAUCCGUUUACUCAACAUUUGGCUUCUCCUUUCAAUUAAAUUUGUCAACAAGACCUGAAAACUUUCUAGGGGAGGUUGAGAUAUGGGAUGAAGCUGAAAAGCAACUACAGAAUAGCUUGAUGGAAUUUGGGAAACCAUGGAAGAUGAACCCGGGAGAUGGAGCAUUUUAUGGUCCUAAAAUUGAUAUAAAAAUCAAGGAUGCUAUUGGCAGAUACCAUCAGUGUGCUACAAUUCAGCUGGACUUCCAACUGCCUGUAAGAUUUAAUCUUACAUAUGUUAGGCAACAUUAUGCGACAUUCAGGAAUAUACCAUGCUGUUUCCAGUUUGUAGAAUGAAUUAUUUCUUCACAUAUCUGAGCAGGACUGGACUCAGGUCCCCCAGCCCCACCCCAAAGCUUCUGUAGGAUUGACAGAGGAUUUGGCCUGCAGUCAGUCUGCCGUGGCUUUUAGCAGAAAUGAUUGGCAAUGACGAUGUCCAAUGAAAACUCUUUUGAAGUGAGUUUAAUGAAUGAGUCUCUGUUUUUAUUUGUCUGUUUGCCCUGUGUGUAUAUGUGUUUUAGUAGUAAAUAGCUGGUACAACGUUUAGAUAAAAAUUUGUCCUAAGAACUUUGUAUGCAUCACACAUUAUUACAUUUGUUGCAGUAAUGUGAAAUUUAUCUUUCUGGGAAAAGUGUGCACAGAUCUUGGAGUGCCUGACUUUAUUACAAUUAACAGUUGUAAUUUGCUUUUUACAUCUUUUUUUGAAAGGGAGGAGAGGAUUCUCAAAUGUAAGGAGAAUGUCAUGAAGGUUUCAGGUCUGUAAACGGAAUUUGACCAGUGGACUUCUGGAACAAGUAUCAGGAACAUUUUGAAAUAUAUCUGUAGUAUGGGGGCAUAGUGUUUACAAUAUGGCAGUGUGUUUACAGUGGAUGGUGUCAGGAAUGGGUGCAUUUGGACCAAACUAGGUUGGCUGUGAGUUGACAUUUGCUGAUGCUGAGAAAGGGUUAUGUGGGAGUUCAUUAUACUAUUCUCUCUACUUUUGUAUAUGUUUUCAAUAUUCUCUAAUAACUACUAACUAACUAACUAAGGUUGGUAAAUUUUUUGCCAGCCACCGUGGUCAUACCAUUAACCCAAACUAAUAGAAUACCAACAUAUUCUAUUACAGACUACAGAAACCCAUUUUCUUUAUUUUUGCAAUGUCUUUGAUAAUUGUUCAAUAAAUUAGUGGUGAAGUAAGCCAUAGUUCAAAAUAAAGUUAAUUUAAAAAAUAUGAUUUGUAAAAUUGCCUCUCAAUAUGAGUAAACUGGUAGUUUCGAAUAAAACUGGUAGUUUAGAAUAAUCAGUAGAUUUGUAAUAGAGAUAGUGAUCUAAUAUCAUGUUGCUUUUUCCUAGAUGAUAUAUUUUACUUCCCUUUGGUUUAUAAAAGAUACCAUAGGGCUUCCCUGGUGGCGCAGUGGUUAAGAAUCCACCUGCCAAUGCAGGGGACAUGGGUUCAAGCCCUGGUCCGGGAAGAUCCUACAUGCCGCGGAGCAACUAAGCCUGUGCGCCACAACUACUGAAGCCUGAGCGCUUAGAGCUCAUGCUCUGCAACAAGAGAAGCCACCACAAUGAGAAGCCCGUGCACCGCAACGAAGAGUAGCCCCCACUCGCUGCAACUAGAGAAAGCCCACAUGCAGCAACAAAGACCUAAUGCAGCCAAAAAUAAAUAAAUUUUAAAAAUACUAAACUAUUAAAAAAAUAAGAAACAUAAUGCAAAAUCUCUUUAAAAAAAUAAAAGAUACCAUAAUUUGAAAGAAAAAAACCUUUAUUUCUAAUUAAUGGCACAUUUAUGUUUAAAGAUAAUUUAUGAGUAAUCUAUUGUUUUACCUAGUUUGGGAAAAUACCUUUUAAAUAUAAGGUAAGAAGAUAAAGUUAUUUAUGAAUCUUAAAAGAAUAAUUAAAUGUAUAAUUUUCAUUUUUUUAGUAAGGAUGGGGAUGAUAAGAAGAACCCUGUGAUCAUUCAUCGAGCCAUUUUGGGGUCAGUGGAAAGAAUGAUAGCCAUUCUCUCAGAAAACUAUGGAGGAAAGUGGCCUUUCUGGCUGUCUCCUCGUCAGGUAAUGGUCAUCCCUGUGG
Molecule: RNA transcript, 3910 nt
Organism: Globicephala melas (long-finned pilot whale)
Lineage: Eukaryota; Metazoa; Chordata; Mammalia; Artiodactyla; Delphinidae
Gene: TARS3
Gene name: threonyl-tRNA synthetase 3
Source: RefSeq, a predicted model, not a curated record